Molecule: ribosomal RNA, 375 nt
Filed under: uncultured bacterium
Lineage: Bacteria
Description: bacterial SSU rRNA
Rfam family: Bacterial small subunit ribosomal RNA
Source: RNAcentral
UACGAAUGUGGCAAGCGUUGUUCGGAAUCACUGGGCGUAAAGAAUGCGUAGGCGGCUUAACAAGUCGGGAGUGAAAUCCCAGGGCUUAACCCUGGAACUGCUCUCGAAACUGUUUUGCUAGAGUCCCGGAGGGGUUAGCGGAAUUCCGAGUGUAGAGGUGAAAUUCGCAGAUAUUCGGAGGAACACCAGUGGCGAAGGCGGCUAACUGGACGGGAACUGACGCUGAGGCAUGAAAGUGUGGGGAUCAAACAGGAUUAGAUACCCUGGUAGUCCACACCGUAAACGAUGUGUGCUAGUUGUCGGGCAGCUUCGCUGUUCGGUGACGGAGCUAACGUUUUAAGCACACCGCCUGGGAAGUACGGCCGCAAGGUUAAA